GUGAACGCUGGCGGUAGGCCUAACACAUGCAAGUCGAACGGCAGCACAGUAAGAGCUUGCUCUUACGGGUGGCGAGUGGCGGACGGGUGAGGAAUACAUCGGAAUCUACUAUUUCGUGGGGGAUAACGUAGGGAAACUUACGCUAAUACCGCAUACGACCUACGGGUGAAAGCAGGGGAUCUUCGGACCUUGCGCGAUUGAAUGAGCCGAUGUCGGAUUAGCUAGUUGGCGGGGUAAAGGCCCACCAAGGCGACGAUCCGUAGCUGGUCUGAGAGGAUGAUCAGCCACACUGGAACUGAGACACGGUCCAGACUCCUACGGGAGGCAGCAGUGGGGAAUAUUGGACAAUGGGCGCAAGCCUGAUCCAGCCAUACCGCGUGGGUGAAGAAGGCCUUCGGGUUGUAAAGCCCUUUUGUUGGGAAAGAAAAGCAGCAGGUUAAUACCCCGCUGUUCUGACGGUACCCAAAGAAUAAGCACCGGCUAACUUCGUG
Molecule: ribosomal RNA, 491 nt
Filed under: uncultured bacterium
Lineage: Bacteria
Description: partial 16S ribosomal RNA
Rfam family: Bacterial small subunit ribosomal RNA
Source: RNAcentral